CAUGCCUAACACAUGCAAGUCGAACGAAGCCUUCGGGCUUAGUGGCGCACGGGUGCGUAACGCGUGGGAACCUGCCUUUAGGUUCGGAAUAACAGUUAGAAAUGACUGCUAAUACCGGAUGAUGUCUUCGGACCAAAGAUUUAUCGCCUAAAGAUGGGCCCGCGUUGGAUUAGCUAGUUGGUGGGGUAAAGGCCUACCAAGGCGACGAUCCAUAGCUGGUCUGAGAGGAUGAUCAGCCACACUGGGACUGAGACACGGCCCAGACUCC
Molecule: ribosomal RNA, 268 nt
Filed under: uncultured bacterium
Lineage: Bacteria
Description: partial 16S ribosomal RNA
Rfam family: Bacterial small subunit ribosomal RNA
Source: RNAcentral